GCGAGAUUGGCGGAAUCGGCAGACGCGCACGUUUAAGGGGCGUGUGGGAGACCGUGUGAGUUCAAGUCUCACAUCUCGCACCA
RNAcentral lists this transfer RNA (83 nucleotides) under Corallococcus sp. CAG:1435. RNAcentral's name for it is "transfer RNA-Leu(AAG)". It matches the Rfam family "tRNA". Rfam says of the family: Transfer RNA (tRNA) molecules are approximately 80 nucleotides in length. Their secondary structure includes four short double-helical elements and three loops (D, anti-codon, and T loops). Further hydrogen bonds mediate the characteristic L-shaped molecular structure. tRNAs have two regions of fundamental functional importance: the anti-codon, which is responsible for specific mRNA codon recognition, and the 3' end, to which the tRNAs corresponding amino acid is attached (by aminoacyl-tRNA synthetases). tRNAs cope with the degeneracy of the genetic code in two manners: having more than one tRNA (with a specific anti-codon) for a particular amino acid; and 'wobble' base-pairing, i.e. permitting non-standard base-pairing at the 3rd anti-codon position. The record is from RNAcentral. RNAcentral also lists the same sequence under 4 other names. Lineage: Bacteria; Pseudomonadati; Myxococcota; Myxococcia; Myxococcales; Myxococcaceae.